RNAcentral lists this long non-coding RNA (292 nucleotides) under Struthio camelus australis. RNAcentral's name for it is "lncRNA (ENSSCUG00000012577.1)". Lineage: Eukaryota; Metazoa; Chordata; Aves; Struthioniformes; Struthionidae. The record is from RNAcentral.
UAUGCAUCUUCUAGGACAGUCCUAGAAGUCUUCUAGGAUGCAGCAGAAGGAUGUGAAGUCUUUGCCUUGAUCUUGCAGAGGAGGGAUAACAGGAGCCUGAGCAGACAGAAGGUGUCUUCUGUUUUCCUGGAGUUGGGUGUGAUCAGCUUUGUGCAAUGUCCCCAAUCUUAAUGUCACACAUACAGCAAUAAGGCCCUUAAAAGCAACAGUUGGCAUACUGUGUAAGUAAUUUUUUAUUUUUUCUAAAUAUUCCUAUGAAAUAGUCCCUUUGCCUCUGUUUCAUUUUAGAAAC